RNAcentral lists this ribosomal RNA (429 nucleotides) under uncultured archaeon. RNAcentral's name for it is "bacterial SSU rRNA". It matches the Rfam family "Archaeal small subunit ribosomal RNA", at positions 474 to 903 of the family's 1478-position model. The record is from RNAcentral.
UACCAGCUCUCCGAGUGGUAGGGAUGAUUAUUGGGCUUAAAGCGUCCGUAGCCGGCUUAGCAAGUCUCCUGUUAAAUUCAGCGACCUAAUCGUUGAGCCGCGGGAGAUACUACUAGGCUAGGAGGCGGGAGAGGUCGACGGUACUUCUGGGGUAGGGGUGAAAUCCUAUAAUCCCGGGAGGACCACCAGUGGCGAAGGCUGUCGACUAGAACGCGCUCGACGGUGAGGGACGAAAGCUGGGGGAGCGAACCGGAUUAGAUACCCGGGUAGUCCCAGCUGUAAACGAUGCGGGCUAGGUGUUGGGGUGGCUACGUGCCACUUCAGUGCCGCAGGGAAGCCAUUAAGCCCGCCGCCUGGGGAGUACGGCCGCAAGGCUGAAACUUAAAGGAAUUGGCGGGGGAGCACCACAGGGCGUGAAGCUUGCGGUUC